Molecule: long non-coding RNA, 451 nt
Filed under: Ananas comosus (pineapple)
Lineage: Eukaryota; Viridiplantae; Streptophyta; Magnoliopsida; Poales; Bromeliaceae
Description: long non-coding RNA (ACOM_LNC024856)
Source: RNAcentral
AUUAGUUUAAUAAUUUAAGAGUAAACUUCAAAUACCACUCCUGUGGCUUCGUGCUUUCUAACUUUAGUACCCUAUGGUUUAAAGUGUAUCAGUUAGUAUCUUGUGAUUUUAUUUUUAUUUUUCGUGAGUUUUUCCGUUAAUAUUUUGUUAAAUUAUAUACAAAAAACUUCAGAUACCUCAUCUAGAUUUAUCGAAUAUUCACUUUAGUACCAUUUGGUUUUAACUUUGCCACUGAUUUAACAGAAAAAAAAUUAGUAGAAUUGAUAAUAAAAGGAUAAAAAUAAAAUCAUAGGGCAUUAAAUUGAUACACUUUAAAUCACAGGGUAUUAAAGUGAAAAAGUGUGAAACCACAGGGGUAGAAUUUGAAGCUUUUCCAUAAUUUAAUUAACAACAUUCAGCCUAAACAUCUAAUCCCGAAAAAUUAUUUUAAACAUUUCGCACUACUACUUAA